Rhododendron vialii is the source of this 305-nucleotide long non-coding RNA. RefSeq lists it as uncharacterized. NCBI's taxonomy places the organism in Eukaryota, Viridiplantae, Streptophyta, Magnoliopsida, Ericales, Ericaceae. The record is from RefSeq and is a predicted model, not a curated record. The transcript has 2 exons.
GGGAUUUGGAGGCUAGGGUUUGGUUUGAGCUCAAAGCUUGGUCUUGAUACUUGAGGUACUUACCAUGGCACUUAGCUUGGGUGGCAUGGAGUGCACAUUGAGACGUCUCUUGAGAGCUUCAUUGGUAUCAUUAAGGAAGUGUUUAUCAUCUAGUUUAAUUCAUGUUGUGUACUUUACUCGCAAAUUGAAGGUUGUACCUUUUGAUUAGAAUAUAUGUAAAGCCAUGUAUAAACUCAUCUCCUUGAUUAUUAUGAAACCCUUUUAAAUUGUAAGCGUUUGGGAGACUCUGCGUUAAAAAAAAAGAA